AACGAACGCUGGCGGCAGGCCUAACACAUGCAAGUCGAGCGCCCCGCAAGGGGAGCGGCGGACGGGUGAGUAACGCGUGGGAACGUACCCUUUGCUACGGAAUAGCCUCGGGAAACUGGGAGUAAUACCGUAUGUGCCCUUCGGGGGAAAGAUUUAUCGGCAAAGGAUCGGCCCGCGUUGGAUUAGGUAGUUGGUGGGGUAAUGGCCUACCAAGCCGACGAUCCAUAGCUGGUUUGAGAGGAUGAUCAGCCACACUGGGACUGAGACACGGCCCAGACUCCUACGGGAGGCAGCAGUGGGGAACCUUAGACAAUGGGCGCAAGCCUGAUCUAGCCAUGCCGCGUGAGCGAUGAAGGCCUUAGGGUUGUAAAGCUCUUUCAGUGGGGAAGAUAAUGACUGUACCCACAGAAGAAGCCCCGGCUAACUCCGUGCCAGCAGCCGCGGUAAUGUACAGUGU
RNAcentral lists this ribosomal RNA (457 nucleotides) under uncultured bacterium. RNAcentral's name for it is "bacterial SSU rRNA". It matches the Rfam family "Bacterial small subunit ribosomal RNA", at positions 29 to 533 of the family's 1533-position model. The record is from RNAcentral.